RNAcentral lists this small nuclear RNA (58 nucleotides) under Felis catus (domestic cat). RNAcentral also lists the same sequence under 4 other names. The record is from RNAcentral. Lineage: Eukaryota; Metazoa; Chordata; Mammalia; Carnivora; Felidae.
UUUAGCAUGGCCCCUGUGCAAGGAUGAUAUGCAAAUUCGUGAAGCAUUGCAUAUUUUU